Alligator mississippiensis (American alligator) is the source of this 11564-nucleotide long non-coding RNA. RefSeq lists it as uncharacterized. NCBI's taxonomy places the organism in Eukaryota, Metazoa, Chordata, Crocodylia, Alligatoridae. The transcript has 3 exons. The record is from RefSeq and is a predicted model, not a curated record.
UUUGAAAAAAAUAUCGACUUUGACUCAUCUCCAUCAACCCAGUGGAAAAAUGGGGUUGAGAAAAGGAAAAAAAGAAGCCUGCCUUGUUGCCUCCAAGGAUGAACCUGUUCUGUGGGUCAGGAUCCAUUCCAAGAGCUGCCCAGUUGGCAAGUGUGACAUGACAGGAUAGAGAUGAAGAUAUUCACAGGAGGUCAUGCCUUCCAUUUCUGUGGAGCCUCCACUCCCAAGGAAGAAGAUGGAAAAGAUUGAAGCUUUUACCAUACACUCUUGAGCAUUGCAUGCUUCUGCUACAGAGGAGGUUCAUGAGAUUUGUGUUACAAUGUAGGCCAGCCCUUUUUAUUUAUUACUGGCUUCUUAAGACCAAAGGCUGCACUCCUUCACAGUCCAGUACACCUUCCAUCUGCAGAUCUCAGCACAUGCUAUAUUCCUCAGUUGGUCCUCCAGGCCUCCUGUGAAAGAGGCCAUGAUUGCUGUUCCCACUUGGAAGAGGAGGAUGCCAAGACCCAACCAAGGUUUUAGUUGAUUUGCCUACAAAGAAAUGAAAAUAGGUGAAGCCUCAGUCUUCCACUUUGUCUCUUAGAAAACAUUCUCCUUCCCUGGAGACAGAGGGAAGGUUCUGAAUCGGAUCCAAGCAUGGCCCUUUGGACCCCCCAUAUCUGACCCAACUGUUCUCCAGGACAUCGGGAACCCUCUGCAGUUUGAACCAACUGCUGCGCUUUCUUCUGCUGGCUUUCUUGCAGCCCUGCUAGCUGGGUGCUGGGAGAGGAAUGCGAGAAGCUGGCUAGUGUGCAUGCUGCUCAGCCAAACAGGAACUCAGAGGAGAAGCUCUCUCUGGAAUGCUGUGGCCCAUGUUAACCAGUUCCAGAUUUACACAGCUCACGUCACUGCCCGAAAUGAGAAAUGGGCCUUGCUUACCCAUGGCAAAACAUAGCAACGGCACAGCAGUGCUGGCUGCAGCACAAAAACCAGUUUUUCAGGCUGUCUCAGGCUUCGCAGCGGAGUAGGAGGCAAGGUUUCUGGGAACUGGCUUAUGGUACUGUCACCUCCACUAUGAGGCUGGGAUGAAAGCCCCAAACUCUUCUUGUUCUGAAGGGUCACAGACACUGGAGAGCUGGUACCUGUCCAUGGUACAGGGGGUGCACCGUAGAGCCUAAUGCACUCUGCCUGGGGGUAGGGAAGGCCAGGGAUGGGGGUAGUGGAUCCAACAGGGGCUCUAGCUUCUAGGACAGGGAGCAGGAACAUUGUAUGGCAAGGCAAGGUUUCCAGUGCUGCUCCAUGGUCCAGAUCAUGCUGCACCACACAGGCAUAGCUCAUGAGCAGGGUGUUAAUCUCUGAACCUAGGAUUUCUGGACAUUCAAAGCAUCUCCUGUGCCUUUCAGGGGCUAGGAUGGGCCAAGGAGGGGUUACUUCUUGCCUAAACAAAAGGUCCUACUUCAGUAUUUUGGUUAGGGGAUUCUUAUGCUGUGUGAGCUGCUUGAUUGGGCUUGAAGCAAAUUCCAGAAUCAAGUCCCUGUGAGCAGUGGGGGAGUAGCAAUUCGGACCUGUAUGUUAAAGUGGUACCUAACUCCAUAAUAGGCCAAAUCAAACUGGAGCUUAAUUUCCUGGAUUGAGGAAGGUCAGAUGUGGAUGGUCCAGGCCCAUUUCUAAAAUGAGUACGGGCAGGUGACUGCAUGUGGUUGAAGGGGUGAGAGUAAAAGUGGCACUAAUCCAAGCCAGGCCUAAGAUUCAGCUAUAGUUUACUGAGGUUCUGUAUGUGAGUGAAGCUUAGAGAGAGACAAAGGACCCAUUACCCUAUCCAGCCUGGGUUGAUUUGUGUGACUAGCCACCCUCCAGAAUGAGAAUGAGUUACCAGUCCAUCUCAUGAAGCAGUCCUUCAGGACUUCCUGUGAAUCUGGGGAAGGAAUUGGGACAACAAAGCAAGCGUUUACAGUUGUUUCGAGAGAUGAAGGACUGAGAGGAGGGCAUAUCAGGAAAUCCAAGCUACCAGAAUGCAUCUUAUCACCUGCUUAGUCUGGAAUACUCUGCCUCCAUCAGGAAUAUUGAGGGUACCCAACAUAGUGCGCCAUUCCAACCCACUGCGCAAUGUUGUACAGGGCAGGGAGAAGUUUUGAGAGAUCCUGGACUGUGGAUGCCCAGCCUCAGGAGCUGUGGUUGUCACCAUCAUGGCUUCAAAUGUUAUUAUUAGCUAUAGAAAGAAAUAUUACUUUAAAAAAAAACAAAAACAAAAACACCCACAUACAUUGGCUCCAGAGUCCAGAGAGGCCAUGAAGUCCCAUGGUGGUUACAUGCUACAGGACACCUCAUUUCCUUUUAUUGCCUCUAAACUGGCUGGUCAUUUAUAACUUUCACAUCAAUCCCUUAGUUUUUGUAUUUGGGAAUGGCAUAGAAAGGGUGGGAUGGAUCGGCUUUCAUCCUCCUGCUCAGCUUGCAUAGCACCGUCACACUCCUUCCAGCACUUCCUGUUUCCAUCCUAAAUAACCCAGGUUUGUCUCAUCUAUCAUCACAUGGCAACUUGAGCCCCAUCCUAUUAACUGCCUCUGUUGCCUUUUUUUUCUAGGCUGCAUUGGGCUCCUUUCUGCAAGUACCUUUAGUACCAUGAGAGUGAAAUGUAAUCCUGGGAGAGUUUAGUUUCAGUUUUGCGUCAAAGUGCCCGCCCAUCCAGGUGUCCCCAAGGUACCAGGAAAUGGAGGUUCAAAUUAUUGUAGAACUUUUAAUUCAGGGAAGAACCCCACCCUACGCACACACCAAAAACCUACAGCAGUAUGUAAAGGCUGAAAGGGAGGGGGUCUAUGGGCACCUAUAGACAUGCCAGAUGUCUGCUCUGGUGCGUGCUAAUUAGCAUAUGCUGGAGCAGACUCAAUUAGUCAAGCUUACUGAAGUGUAUUAAUUAGCAUGCUCCAGCAGUCUCUACAUCACUUGUAUGCAGUAUCUCUGUGUUUCACAGUGGUGGUAGGGGUGCUUUAAUUAAAUCUCAUGUAAUGAGCUUUAGUUAAAGCAUCCCUGCCACCAUUUUGAAGAGUGGGAUGCUGAAUACAUGUGACACUGCAGGUGCUUUAGUUAGAGCUGCUCUCAGAGCCACUUUAACCCACUUCCACUCCAGAGCAUGGGUAAAGAUGUCCUAUAUUUCUGCAUGCUGGCACAGUUGGAUUUCCAUGCAUAUUGUCAUGUGCAAGAGUAGAACAAUGAUUCUCUGUGUCUUCACUUCGUGGGUGAUGGGGUAUUCUCAUAGAUAGGGCCCUGGCCUAAAAGCUCUUACCUUUACAAUGCCUCCUACCCUUUCCCUCUUUAGACAGUAAGUUCUUCGAGGCAGGGUCUGUCUCUCAUCACACAUUUAUCCAGUGUCCAGCAAAAUAGGCCCUGUUUAGGAUGAAGGAGACAGGAGGCAGUAUUAGCAAAAAAUCUUCAACUGAAACAAUGAAUUAAGUUCCCAUUUCAUCUAUAUACCAGUGUAACAGGAUCCCUCUCCAUGAUGCCCCUGGAGCCCCCUCAGCCCUUGCCAACUUCACUGUCUUUUGAGCAAUCUUCCCUUCCCCUCACCUGCCACACCUUGAUGUAUUUAUCUUUAAGAAAGGGGGAGGCUGCCCCAGGGCUUCCCAAGCCUGAUCUCACACUCCCAAGCUCAGGUGUCUCUGUCGCAGGGCACCUUAGUGCCUGCUCCUAGCGAGGAGAAACUGCCAGGGAGAGAGCCCUGGCAGAGCCGAUUGAGCGCAGCUGCGGGUUGCUGGAGCAACUAAGGGGAGCCAGCUGGCCAGAAGGGGGCAGGGCCUGGCCUUUGUAAAGCCCAGGGCUGAAGCCAGGCUAGCAGUUCUCUGCCAGCAGCCUGGGAGGCAGGAGCUCUGGGAGUGAGGAUGUGGAAAGGAGCAUGACUUGCAAGUACAGCUCAUGAUAGCCCUGAGAGGAUGGGCACUAGGGUUUAGCCAGGGGGCUUUAGGUUUGCGUUACAGCCAGGAGGCUUGAGUUUGUUUGGCUUUGUUAUUACACCCGGAGGCUUGGGUGAGGCUGUGGGGGUUGGAGGAGGCCUCAAUUAUAGGGACCCCAGAGAGUGUGGGGUGCCCUAGCACCAAGAGGGCACAUUAUUUGCAUAGCGCCAGGGAAGGCGCAGCUCGCACGCCAGUGCGUGAGCAACUGACGGCGAGGAGCGCGGCCAGUGGGUCGCGGGCGCAACCCGUAGGUUGCAGACGGGGGACCGAGACUCCGGAUUGCGUGCGGGGUACAUAGACCCCAGCCCCAGAGCGAGGGGCAAUUUCAUUGAGAAGCCCAGGGUGGGCACGGCGAGCCCCAAAGAGGGGGAGCGCCACAUUGUAUUCUUGAGAAGCCCCGUGGGGGCACGGCGAGCCCCAAAGAGGGGGAGCGCCACAUUGUAUUCUUGAGAAGCCCUAGAGAGGGGCGAUAUGGAGCAGCCCUAAGGAGGGGCCAUACUGAGGAGCCCUAGAGCGGGGCGAUACUGAGGAGCCCGAGACGGGUAUAGCGAGCCCGGCCGCAGGCUAGUGCAGCAACACCCCUCGGACCGAGGCAGGGCGCUGCGGUUGCCCUGAGAAGACAGGGAGUAGCAGCGCGGUGAGCCGGGGUCAGAGAGGGUACCCGUGCGGUUGGCCGGAAGGGCCGGGGCCCGCUAGGGAGUCCCUGAGCGGCACCGCACCAUCAGGAGAGUCCCAGUGAGAGGCUGGGUGCGAGAGUGAGAGCCCAGCGUGUGCUACACUUUAGAGGAGGCCCAGGAAGCGGGCGUACAGACCUAACAACGUCUAUUACAUCUGCGAGGCUUGGGGCGUGGUAUUAGGGGCUGGUAGGAGCCACGCACAGCUCAUAAGGCUGGGGUGCUUGAGUAGCACCCAUCGUACGGGGUGACCCACGAGGGGUCCAGGAGCUUAUGUGCCCGAGGAAACACAAGGCAGCCUCCCUAUUACAUAUUCCAGCAGGACGUGGCUGGCGAGCAUGGAGGGUGCCCUCGGGCCGAAGUAGCGUGGUGAGAGGGCCUCAAGGAGAUCACGGCCCUCCUAGAGGACUCCGCCGUGACAGUCUCCACUCUUCAAUUUAAGGGCCAAUUACAUGGGCUCCAUCCUCCCCAACACCCACACCCAUGCCUCACAGAUGUCACAUCUUAAUCAAAUCAUAGCCACCCCUAUGGGCUACAGGCUUCUGGCUCUGUCCAUCCUUGCACCAGCCCCUCUCUGGGCUAUGGACACUCUGGCCCCCUUGGUCUCUGGCUGCAGCUUCAUUCUUUCUCCUUAGACUCUGGGCCUACUCCUACUCUAGUUAAGGCCCAUGAGGUCUCCAGUCUUACCAGUCUUCAGCUAUGGCCCUUCUUGGCCUUCAGCUCUUCCUAAACCCUGACCUCACCCCUAUGCCUGUGAGGCCUAUGGGCACCCUAGCCCUACCCACUCUAUCUUUGGGUCCUUUGCUUUCUCUCUGGGUCCUCUCUCCCUGGGCAAGCUGGGAACCUCCUUACCUCCCCUUAGUCCCUUCCACAAACCACCAGAGUCACUUACCCCAGCUCAGAUGUUACUCAGGAACCCUACUGCCCAAAAGCUCCUUUCUCCACAGCUCUCAGGACUAGCCUGCCUGCCCAGCUCCAGCUCUGGGCUUAUAUCCUGAUAGCCCAGUCCCUGUAGGCUAUGUGACUCCUAAUUGCCCCCUGGCACACCUGCAAGCUGCUUUUCAGGCAGCCUGCCUUCUCCUAAAGUAGCAGGAGCGCACAGCCUCCUGCUACAACCAGGCAGGGAAACACUGCACUGGUGGGAAAUAAAGUCUUUACACAUCCAUUUUGAGUAGAGAUAUGGUAACCCAGGAGUCCUGACCAAGUCAGUCUUUUUCAAUUAUUUAUAAAUAUUCCUAUCAUGGUUAUGAUUUUUAUUACUUUAUUAUUGUUUGUAUUGCCACAGCAUCCAGGAAUCCCAGUCUCCAACUAGGAGCCUAUUGUGCUGGACACUGCACAAACACAAAAUGGGUUCUGAUCUCCAAGGCUGCAUAUGAGCUGUUACAGGUAACAGAACUGCUAUUUUAUUUACCUGUGGCUAACUUGUAGCUUUAUUAAGCCCUACCUGCAGCAGGUGUUUGCAAGACCAGUAAAUUUCUGCUCAGGCAAGAGCACUUUGGCAGGGAUUGACGAGAGCCACUUCCACGUAGUGAUCCCUAGUAGGGUGGCCAUCAUAGAGGACAGUCCGGUUGUCCUCUGUCCUCUAUUGAUAGGAAACUUGAAAAGAAAAAUAGAGGACAUAAAGGUGUCUGGUUUCAUAUCAAUGGAGGACAAAGGACAGAGUAGCAGAAAACCAGAAUGCCCUCUGUCUCAGGGCACCUCAGUGCCUGCUCCUAGGGAGUAGAAACUGCCAGGGAGAGAGAGCCCUGGCAGGACAUAACCAGGCUGAGGCCAGGCUGGCAGUUCCCUGCCAGCAGGUGGAGGGGCAGGAGCUCCUGGAGCUAGGAGGCGAGAAUCACAGGAACCACUCUAGCUGGGUGAAGGAUAGCAGCUCGGAGAGGUUUGAGCACCAUGGUUCUGCCAGGAGGCUUUAUGUUUGAGUUAUAGCCAGGAGGCUCGAGUUUGUGUUUAGGUUUUGAUAUUACACCGGUGGUUUGGGUGAGGCUAUAGGGGUUGGAGGAGGCCUCAUAAAGGGCCCCACAGGAGCGCGGUGUGCCCUGAGAGAAGGGGAGAGCAGCACGGUGGGCCUGAGAGUCAGGGGGCGUUGCCGGAAAGUCCCCAGAGUGGGCGCAGAGAGCCCCAGACAGGGAGGUAUUUUAGAGGCCCGAGUGUGGGCGCAGGGAGAGCCCCAGGAAGGGGGCAUUACCAAGAAGCCCAGCGCGGGCGUAGCAGGCCCCAGGCGGGGGUGCUACUGCGAAGGCCCCAGAGAGGGGCAAUGUUACAAGGAGGCCCCGAGUGGGCUCGGAGAGCCCAAGAGAGGGCAGCAUAGCAGAGGAGGCCCAGAGAGUGGGCAAGAGCACGCAGAGGAGGCCUGAGAGAUGGGCAAUAUAUAUAUAUGAGACAUACCAGCGUCUUUCCCAUCAGCGAGGCUUGGGGCGUAGUAUUAGGGGUGGUAGGAGCCACGCGUAGCCCAUAAGGCUAGGGUGCCCCAAGGCACCCAUGGGUGCAGGAUAAGACCCACGAGGGGUCCAGGCGUUUACGUGCCCAAGGAGACGCAAGGCAGCCUCCCUAUUAUAUUUACCAGCAAGACAUAGCGGGUGAGAAUCGAGGGUGCCCUUGGGCCGAAUUGGCACGGAGAGAGGGCCUAAGGAGAUCACGGACCUCCUAUAGGACCCCGCCGUGAUACCCUCUAUGAUGGCCACCCUAACCCUGGUAACAUCGCUGACAGCCAAGAGCUCCCAAAUUGACAAUGCCAAAGCGCACAAAGAUAAAGAUAUGAACACCAUUUCUGUCAUACAAAAGAACAAGAAGCACUUUGGCCACUGGCUGUUACCAGUUCUAAUAUUCUCUUAUGUCAGGGGCAUCAAACUCACCUGACCAGAUCCAAAACGUGCAGGCUGGAUCCAGAUGUGGCAGUGGGGUGAGUGGCAUCAGGGAGCUGUGGGGGUUAACAAACCUGUUGUUCAUCCCCCAUUGCCUACACACCUCCCUGACAGAGAUCAAUGCUGAAAUUUCAGUGGUGGGCCUGGCCUUCACUUGCCCCCCAAGCCAUGCAGACCAGGUGACAUGACUCCAUGGGCCAGAUCUGACCUGUAGGCCAUACAUUUGACACCCCUGUCUUAUGGAAAGGCUGCCUUGGAUACUGCACGUAACAAUUACAGCACAGAUAGGCAGGACUUAGUGAUCUUGUCCACAGCCUCCACUCUCCCAGUCAGAAAGACGCAAUGUUCUAUCAGAGCAACACCUUGCUACCUUUAAGAUACAGCACCGCCAAUUCAUAGAGAUGCUGCCCGUACUGAUCAUUAUCCCAUUAAUAUCUCAUGUGUAUUUAGUUUUUAAAUGUUGCUUCAAUUAAAACAGGAAGGUUUUAAGAACCAGAUCUUAUUUGUGAUAUGGGAGUGGGUGACGAAGAGACAGUGAGAGAGCAGUGAAUCAGUGACCUUGUCUACAAGAGUUUCUCUCCCAACCCUGCCCCUGACAUUCAAACUGAUAGUAUUGGCUGUGGGAGGCCUUACGUAGACAAGGCACUGCUGUCUGCCACUGAUUUAACUAGUAGGUCAAGAUGUUUUAUAUAAUUAAAAAGCCAGCAGCUUCCUGAAGAUGAUUAAUGAAUGGGAACGAGCCAGAAUGGACCCUGGCUUCUGCUUAACCCACAGGAAUUUUUUUCCCAAUAAUUUUGUCCUUAACCUGUUGACAAUGUUCUGUAUUACAAGGGGAGGAAAUAGUGGGUGCAUCAGUUGCAGUAGUAUAUGCCUGGCCGCUCUCUAAGGAGCUAAGUCAGCACAGUAAAAAGCACAGGAAUUACAAUGAGUAACAGCAAUAACAACAGCUUUACAUCCAUAGUAGAGGAUGGUCAAGGAGGUCAGCAGCAUCAACACUAUUUCACAGAGAAGUAAACCAAGCCAUGGAGCAUUACAGUGACUUGUUUAAGGUCUUCCAGGAAGCCAGUGAGACACACAGGAAAUGAACUGUAAUCUAGGUUAGUGUUAGGACCCUUAUGAGAACAAGACCCUAACACUAGCCACUGGCCUCCACUGCUCUCAUCAGGACAUUGCAGGUUUUAAUUUUCUCUCCCAUCCCUCUGCAAGUUAGGUUGGUGCAAUUAUCCCCUUUUCAGUGCUGGAAACACUGAAUCCUAGGGAGAAGUGACUUGAUCUACAUCAGCCUCAGAAGCAAGAUUGGCUAGAUUACACCUCAGGGCAUCCUGGCUCCUGGUCCCUUAUACAGGCCCCUACAUCUUUAUGUUUCCUUGGUUACAACUUGGAUUGUAACUUGCAGCUUCUGUGCUAUAACUUAGAUGGGACAAGAAUGGACAAAAGGAUGAUUUCCAGACCUUAUUCAGGGAAAUCAGAUAAAAUAGCAUCCUGUGCUUUGAAGCAGUGAACAGACCAUGAAGUACUGAGCAGUGUCAGCAAACAACAGGCAUUGUCAGCAGGCAACAUUUUUACUCUUCCUCAUUUGCUAUCUUUCCCCUCAACAAAGGGUUCUCCUGAAUUCAUGUUGGAACGACUGUCUGCUUCCCCUCUUUCCUUAUAGCUGGCAGUAGCCAUCCUACUCUGCUACUUUCUACAGCCAGGCUUUAAAGCUGACCCAUGUACUAAUAAAACAAGAUGCCUACUUAGCUGAUGAGAUCUGACAAUAUCACUGGCAACAGUAGUAUGAUUACGGACUAAAUAGCACUCUUCUCCUGGCAAGUGUGCCAUCAUUUUCAGUUGUAGAUGAACAAGUGGAAACUUCCUUCAGCAUCUUGUUUUUGCCUCCCAAAGCUUAUAACCGUCACAGAGGAAAAAAAAUUUGUGUCCAACUCCUUUAACAGUGGGCAAAAUCCUUUCUUCAGUUUAACUAAAUGCUUAGCAGACCCUGAUCACUAUGUCAGACUGGAGAGUCUUUACUGUAGCAUGAACAACAGUAUUGUACAAGUCAAGGACAUAUUUACAGCCGUGGUAAUACAGCCCACUUUCUUAUUCUGUGGUGUGAACUAAUCUUGAGUCCCAGGAAUGAAUCUUGAAGCCAACAGAAAACCCAAGAGAAUGCUUUAGCUGUUGGGCUUUCAGUCACAUUGAACGUUCCUCUCUCCCUGUUCUAGAUUGCUGUGCAGUAUUGUGGUGCACUAUGAAUUGACUGCUGCAGUCCACCCUAGAGACAACUGCAUCAAAGUGGGAAGUUACCCAGUAUAAUCACAGGAAAAAAUAUACUUCCUACCUUCAAGAGAUUCAAAACUAAAUAUUCUCUCCCUUCAUUAGCAGCUUGCUGGAUAGGGUUCUUUAGUUUGCUUUCCACGUGACAUCCUUUCAAAUGGGCAGUGCAAAACCAAUGGAUAAAUAUUGUAAAGUGCUUAUGCAUCACUUGAUGUGGAAGGAUCUGUGGAACUAUAACGUUGAAGUGUCUAUCACAGGAGUUCUCAGAUUCCUUAUUAGGACAUAUCUAAUACAAUAGAGGUAUUACCAAAACACAAAUAAGCAUAAUGUUAAGUCUGCAUAAUUAUAUCCUUUACUGCCAUCUGCUGGACAUAUUGGUGAACUUUGGAGCAGCAUUAGUUUGGUUGCUCUGAGUUGUGAGGCAGUGUCUCCUUGGAAAGCAGUUCAUUCUGUAGGAAUAAUGAAGAGGUCUAUUGUUGAUGGAUGCUGCAAGAUUCCUCACUGUUCCAAGUUCAUCCACCUCUACCGCCUGAGAAAAAGACUCUAAAGAACUGUGGCUGUGACUUGGAUGACUACACAGUCCGGUGGGUGGCGAAUUGGCUAGAGGGCCGCACCCAGAGAGUCAUAGUGGAUGGGUCAGUUUUGACCUGGAAGGGUGUGGGUAGUGGGGUCCCGCAGGGCUUGGUCCUUGGACCGAUACUCUUUAAUGUCUUCAUCAGUGACUUGGACGAGGGAGUGAAGUGUACUCUGUCCAAGUUUGCGGAUGAUACAAAGCUAUGGGGAGAAGUGGACAUGCCGGAGGGCAGGGAACAGCUGCAAGCAGACCUGGACAGGUUGGAAAAAAUGGGCAGAAAACAACAGAAUGCAGUUCAACAAGGAGAAAUGCAAAGUGCUGCACCUAGGGAAGAAAAAUGUCCAGCACGCCUACAGCCUAGGGAAUGACCUGCUGGGUGGCACAGAAGUGGAAAGGGAUCUCGGAGUCCUAGUGGACUCCAAGAUGAACAUGAGUUGGCAGUGUGACAAAGCCAUCAGAAAAGCCAAUGGCACUUUAUCAUGCAUCAGCAGAUGCAUGACGAAUAUAUCCAAAGAGGUGAUACUUCCUCUCUAUCGGGCGCUGGUCAGACCGCAGUUGGAGUACUGCAUGCAAUUCUGGGCACCGCACUUCAAGAGGGAUGCGGAUAACCUGGAGAGGGUCCAGAGAAGGGCCACUCGUAUGGUUAAGGGCUUGCAGGCCAAGCCCUAUGAGGAGAGACUGGGGCUCCUGGACCUCUUCAGCCUCCGCAAGAGAAGGUUAAGAGGCGACCUUGUGGCUGCCUAUAAGUUCAUCACGGGGGCACAGAAGGGAAUUGGUGAGGUUUUAUUCACCAAGGCGCCCCUGGGGGUUACAAGAAAUAAUGGCCACAAGCUAGCAGAGAGCAGAUUUAGACUAGACAUUAGGAAGAACUUCACAGUUAGAGUGGCCAAGGUCUGGAAUGGGCUCCCAAGGGAGGUGGUGCUCUCCCCUACCCUGGGGGUCUUCAAGAGGAGGUUAGAUAGGCAUACUGAAUUAAUUUCUUACACUGGUUUUCAAGCCCCUGCGAGUGAGGCAGGGCAACCAUACAGGGGAGCACAAGGUCCCUAGCAAGGUCCUGUCUCAUGAUAAUCCUGGGGUAGGUAAUGGAACAACAUCCCCUUAGUGCCACAGCUGCUGGCUAACUUGUUAGUUUUCUGCUUCCAGAUGGCCAAAGUUCACCUAGCAAAGCUGGAGCCUGAAAUACAAGAGCAGGUGCAUGUGAGUAUGUGUGUAUGCGCGUGUGUAUAAAAAGACACCUUAAAUCUCCUUCCCAAAUGAUAUCUAUUAAACUGAAAAAGCA